This 326-nucleotide ribosomal RNA is filed under the name uncultured bacterium. RNAcentral describes it as "partial 16S ribosomal RNA". It matches the Rfam family "Bacterial small subunit ribosomal RNA", at positions 796 to 1124 of the family's 1533-position model. The record is from RNAcentral.
CACGCCCUAAACGAUGCAAGCUAGGUGUUGGUGGGAUUUCCCAUCCGUGCCGUACCAAACGCGUUAAGCUUGCCGCCUGGGGGCUACAAGCGCAAGCUUAAAACUCAAAGGAAUUGACGGGGGCCCGCACAAGCAGCGGAGCGUGCGGUUCAAUUCGAUGCAACACGAAGAACCUUACCAGGGUUUGACAGGAGCGUGGUAGGGAAGCGAAAGCGGACCGACCCGCAAGGGAGCGUUCACGGGUGAUGCAUGGCUGUCUUCGGCUCGUGCGAUGAGGUGGUGGUUUUUUUUUUCUAUUGGCGCUACAUCAGUAACGCGAUGAACCA